UUUUAAGUCAAAUUUAUAAUAUACAGUUGAGCACCGUUGCCUCGAUAUUCAUGGGACCAAGAAAAAAUAUCGA
Haliotis rubra (blacklip abalone) is the source of this 73-nucleotide long non-coding RNA. RefSeq lists it as uncharacterized. NCBI's taxonomy places the organism in Eukaryota, Metazoa, Mollusca, Gastropoda, Lepetellida, Haliotidae. The transcript has 3 exons. The record is from RefSeq and is a predicted model, not a curated record.